Molecule: long non-coding RNA, 942 nt
Organism: Myodes glareolus (Bank vole)
Lineage: Eukaryota; Metazoa; Chordata; Mammalia; Rodentia; Cricetidae
Source: RefSeq, a predicted model, not a curated record
AGGUUGGCCCAAGAGACUGUGAACAUGCCUCAGGAUCUACCCAAGCUAAGAAAUCUACCUACAAGACUAGCUGCCUCCUUGGGAUUCCUCAGGGAAAGUCCUGGCCUACUCAGCUGCCAGAAACCCUAAUGUAGUUUCAGACUGAAGGCAUAAAAUCACCACGUCUGGAACAAAGGGAGUUCAUCCGAUGUUUUCCUUGUUUGAUUGUGUCUGACAGACUGCUCUGUUCUGAAGGCAGAACAUCUCAAAGCUACUGGGAUUGCAGAAGCCAUUUAGCUUUCCUAGGCUUCUCCCAAGGAGCAGUAUCUACCUUUGAUGGUCAAGAAGAGACAUCUGGUCAAUAGAGUACGCUGCAUUAGUGAACAGAAGAAUAAUGCAGCAAUAUGCCAGUAUUAAUACUGUAACCACCACCUACAUAUUGGAAGGAAAAAAUUAACCUGUUCCAAAAUAUGGGAAACCUGGAAGAGGAGAAUAACACAUUUAUUUAAGUGGAAUAAAAGACUACUCAAGGGGCAAGGCUUACAGGUUGUGGAUACCCUGAAUCUUGCCCUGAGGAUUCUGUCAUGCAAGUGGUGAACUACUUAAUGAACAAAAGAAGGGAAGAAAUGAUGGCAAAUCCAAGCAACUGCCUAUGUCAUGGAAAUGUCUUUCUUUUGCUAUAAUCAUCAGGAUCAUUAUCUGGUGGAAAAACUCUAAUAAGACAGGAUGCACUUUUGCUUCUCCCCCAUCCUCGUCAUUUUGGCAACCUUGUGGAGAAACUCUCUUCUCUGUCUCUGAGGCAGUUCAUCAGAGUUUAUAUCCACCACAUGGCGAUAAGGCUCUCUUUGCCAACCUUCAGAAAGCUUGUUCCAACUAAAUUUUUUGAAGUCAGUAAUAGAAGUUAGUGAGCCACAUCCUCUUUGGAAAGCCUUGAAGGGAUUAAACAUUUGUCAACUUGCAUAA